This is an RNA transcript of Culex pipiens pallens (northern house mosquito), 8203 nucleotides long. It is a transcript of the gene named probable serine/threonine-protein kinase DDB_G0282963, with no coding region annotated. The record is from RefSeq and is a predicted model, not a curated record. NCBI's taxonomy places the organism in Eukaryota, Metazoa, Arthropoda, Insecta, Diptera, Culicidae. The transcript is spliced from 21 exons.
UCGAAACAUCGAGCCAGUCUGGUUGGAAAUGUUCGCGGCGCAGCAUCGUCUUGCUGUUUUUAUUUUUUGAGUGUUUUGAAAGCAGAGAUAUUCAAGCGUUUUGAGUCAAUUUGCGGUCUGGCAGCGGUUCCACGCUGAAUAGUGACCGCGGGUGGCUGGUUUUCUUUUCUGUUUCGUCGGUUUCACGCAGUUAUUUUUCGCAAAGAAGUUUUUCUCUCAGUUCGAAGCAGACAUGUUUUCAUGGCGAUUUUCCGGCCCUUUGUAAAUGGAGGUUGGUUACAUGAGAGUGAGUGAGCGAGUUAGGCUGAAUCCACACAGUGAACUAGAUUGGGCGGUCCGCGUUGAAAAGCCGGAGAAGAGUUUCGGGAAAAUGUGAAAUAAUUAGUUUUGAUUAUUGCUCGGUUUAGAAAAAUUAGUUUCGCUAGACAGCAGAGCACGGAGUGUGAAGAAGAAAAAAAAUUGCACAAAAGAUUACACCUUUGUCGGUGGUUGUGUUUGUGCGUAACAGUGCAUAUAUAAAGUGUUUGUAUGUAUGUGUGUGAGUGCGUAGUGCUGAUGGCAGGAUAGGAUACACACGCAAAGGAAUACGAAAAAGGAUAUCCAACGCAUACGAUUUGUACACAGAGAGCGGCACUAGAAAAAACAGGCAGCAGCAGGCUAGGAAAAAAGGUUAAAAGUCUGCUUUGGCUGGCCAGCAGACCACGAUCAAAGGUGGCCGCAGUAGAAGCAGACGAAUGAAAAAUAACUGCAGCUCCUCUCGUACCGCUGUGUGAAAGGUUGCCGCUUCCGUGUAUUUGUGCGAGGAACAUCCAUCCCGAUUUAAGAGGAAAUCUCCGCUACUACCGGAAAUAGAACCAUUUCGGGUGAAUCGAGUGCGUGAGUGAGUCUUUCGAGCGGCGUGUAAUGUCUUAAGCUCGACCAGAGUAGUGUCUUGGCGCGUAUAAGUGCGGUUUGCUUGGGAGAGUUAUCCUACCAUUAGGGCCGGUCCGGUGAAGAAACCCGCGAGACCGACAGUGUCGAAUGGAAAUUGGAGAAAGUGUGAAUCCAAACAGUAGUUUUUCGGUGGCCGAUUCAGUCGGGUUUUUUUUUUUUGUUUGUGAGCUUAGGGGGCUGAAUGGCAGUGAAAAUGAGUCUCGCUAGUAACAGUGAUUGGCCCGAGCUCGAGCGGCAUACCGAAACCGUUGAUAAAAAAUGCCGCUAAUUUUCAUCUCGUUCAAUUCAAGUCGCCUUUCGUUCAAGUGCAAGUGAGAAUCUUUAAUCGAUUUUUCACGGGAUAUUUGCUUGCUCAACGACGACGGCGACGCCUUGGACAGUGUCGAGCGUUGCAAACGGGGUCCGAUAGGCAUCUCUACGGAUUGGAAAUUAAUUUUAUUUGCCUAUUUGCGAUCGGAUUGCGACCGACACGGGCACAAGGCAGCCUCUCCAAUAAACAUAACCACAAACACAUACACGAACGGAACGGGACGGAUAAAAGUUCGCCAUGGAUAUAGGAAUGGAGCGCCACGAGGGAAGUGCCACGAUUGGCACUCUCUUCCAGCACAUCGUCAACGAUAUGAAGAACUCCAGUCCACUGUGGGAUGACUUCAUUGCAAAAGCCACAAAGCUACAUGCUUGUUUACGAGCUGCGAUACAGGCGCUGGCGGCCUAUUUGGAAGCGUUUCAAAAAAUUGCCGACGCAGCUACCAACUCCAAGGGUGCCACCAAGGAGAUCGGCACCGCGUUGACGCGGGUCUGCCUGCGCCACAAGGCGGUGGAAACGCGGAUGAAGACGUUCACGUCCGCCAUCAUGGAAUGCCUUAUCGUGCCCCUGCAGGAAAAACUGGAAGACUGGAAGAAACAGGUAGCCAUCAUAGAUAAGGACCACGCCAAAGAAUACAAGCGCUGCCGGACGGAGCUGAAGAAGCGCUCCAGCGACACGCUGCGGCUGCAGAAAAAGGCCAAAAAGGGGGGCCACCAUGCGGGGGGUGGAGCCGGAGGCCAGGACAGCUUGCACAUCCUGGUGGAGUCGUCCAUGCAGGACGUGACGCUGCGGCGGUGCGAGCUCGAAGAGGUCGAGCGGAAAUCGCUGCGCGCCAUCAUGGUCGAGGAGCGAUCGCGGUACUGCACCUUUGUCAACAUGCUGCAGCCGGUGGUGCACGACGAGUGCGAGGUCAUGUCGGAGCUAAGUCAUCUACAGGAAGCAAUGCAGAUCAUCGCCGUCGUCACGAAAGAUCCCGCCAUCCUACCGCAGGCCUCGGAAGAGCUCAUCCUGGAGUCGAAGACCAACAUGAAUCUCUACCCGGACUCGCCCGGGGGUUCGAACUCGCAGGGCGGUUGUUCCAACUCGCUCGGAUCUCGCAAAAGUUCCGUAUGCUCAAUAAGUUCCAUUAACAGCAGCAGCAGCGGAUCGCCGGGUCACCAGUUCCAGAGGUCGCUGUCGCAGUACUCUCCAGCGAUACGUUUGAAACCAGGUGAAUCUAGUGAUAGCGGAUUUUGUUCUUCGCCAGCUUUAACUUCGCAGGCUUCCACACUCGCUAGUCAAUCGCACGCCGUGUCGACGUGGCCACCACACACCCAGGACGGUACGGCCACCGCAGAUCGGCCGCACACAAUCUCGUCCGCGUACGAAAAGGGCCACCAAAGACCGGCACUCACGGUGUACACGUUCCAGAAUCCGGAAGCAAUCUCCGAGAACAACCCAAAGUCACCCGCCAACAUAUCGUGCCGACCACCGCUGCCAGUGCGAUGUUCGUCGCUGGAGAGGCCGCUUUCGACAGCUUCGAUGAAAAACGCCAACUCUAACGUUCCAAGGCAAUGUCCGUCGCCGAUUCCAGCUCAUAUUACCAAAGAACACCCACAACUACAACCCACCUACGUCAAUAUGACGGAACUAGCAUCGAUGGCUGCCUCGAAAAUAACUAACAAUAACACCUAUAACAACAAUAAUGCAACUAACCAGCCCCAAUCAGGGCCGUCGUCCACGUCAUCAUCGUCCCAGCAGACCUCCUCUUCAAACAGCCAAGCAAUGCAACCGCUGCAGAUGGGCUAUCAGCAGCUUCAGCAGCAGCCAAAUUCUCCCGUUCUGUCGUCCGCAUCGUCGCUCAUCUCGCCCGAUUCGAGCGCAACGAACGCAAUCAGCUCGCCGGAUGUGUCCGCCUGCAGCACACAGACUCCCCAGAACACGCCCCAGACCGGGUCGCCCCAGACGCCCAUCUACAGCAGCAGUAGCUCGAUGGUGCUGGUCGGAACCGGUCCCAGCGAUGGCGUUGCUACUGGUGAAAGUAAUGGUGGUGGUGGUAGCACACUAGCGGAAGGCAGCGCCGGAAUCGAGAAUAAAGAUAUCCUUAAAUGUACCGGUUCAGUUCUAGAGAAAACGUCCAUGUUCGAGCAACAAAUCAACAACAAUCAACACACCGGCGCCGUGCUGCUAAACACGCCCACGCGGACUGAAAACAGCGGCCGGAAGGGCGAAGAUAUUUACAAGUCGACGGGUUUGCUGUCCGAGCGAGAUGCAGAUCGGAUUGACAAAGAGACAAUCGAGGAACUAAAUAAUCUAAUUGGUGAACUAGACCUCUUCCAAAAAGAGCACGAGCUGCGCCUGGAGGAGCAUCUGCAGCAGCCCUCGCAUGAAAACGGCAUCCAAAUGGCCAGCUCAAAUGGGAACAUGUCCUCAAACACGAGCGAUUCCAACGGCAGCGACAAGGUCUCCAUCUCCAGCUCGAUGAACGUCGAAGGGUUGAAUCUGUCGCUGAACAGUACCAGUACCAAUCUGGCAGCGUUCAACUACAGCGAUAGUCAGCUGCAGGGCUGCGAUGGGGUCGAUUAUCCCAACACCGGGUUCGAAAAUCCCUCGUUUAUGCACCUGAACGAUUCGGAAAUUGUGGUCAUGCGACAGAACGACUUUGGCAAAGUUGACCCGGAAAAUUACUACAGCCAGAACAUGAGCGAAGUUGUGGUGCUGCGCUGCAAGGAUGUCACCAAGAGUGAACAAGACGGCACGCUGUCCGGCAACGGUGCCAGCAAUGCCACCGACACCAACCAACAGCAGCGACUCAGUUCGUUCAAGCUCAACUCGCGGUCGGCUUCGCCGGCACUGUCCUCGUUCGUGGUGUCCCGAUCUCCCACUCCGUCGCUUUCGAUCCCGCCCUCCAAUGCGACAACCCCUACGAUGCCACCGUCCCCACAGCACAGUAUUGCCUUUCCACCGAGCAGCAACAACAAUAACUUUGUGAUAAGCCAGAACCACCACCUCCAUCAUCAACAGCAGCAGCAGCAGCAACAACAACAACAUCAGCAGUCCCAUCCAAAGCACUUCCCCAAUGGUAAUGAGAAAAGCUCGUUGAUCUCAAUGCCUUCUGAUGAGCGCAUUAAUAGAAUUAAGCCAGCAAUCACGCCGCGACCUGCAUCGUUAUCUGGAGCGACACGAGUCACUCGACGGUCGUCCAUCAAUACUGUGAAACCUCCUCCGCCGGUGCGGAGAAGCUCCAGCGUAACGCCAAAUCCUAACCUCGGAACAAACAACUCGCCAUCUCUGUCACAGCAAAGUCUCGUUUACACGUCGUCGGAAAGUCUUCCACCACCACCUGCUUACCUUCUAGACAGCACCGCUGGAAGCACUCCAAUUCCAGGAAACGUAGCGGGAACGGUGAAGGCGCUCAACGAAAUACGACAUAAACCGGCCAGCCCGAGCGUGCUGCGACGGGCCCACCAAAAUCUUCCAACUCCACAGCAAUUGCCCACGCAGCAAGAACAGCAACAGUACGCCACAACUAACGCUUACAGCGGCACGCUCUUACACGAUCCUGCUAGUAGCGCUUCGUCACCUUACUAUACGCCACAGUCACAGUCGCCAAACGCUAUCUAUUCUAGCGGUGAAAGUCCUAACAUGUCAUCGAACCGAACCUCGAAGUCACCUCACCACCAGGGAAUCUACGCCCAGCCGAAGCAACUCACGAGUAUGUCCAGCUUCCGGACGGCGAGUCCAGGUCCCCAAAAGCAAAACAGUGGUUUCCUAGCCCAACUGAACGCCCGAAUAGCCCCGAACAAACAGCCACAACAACAAUCAUCACCCCAGCACUACCAAGAGCAACCAGCUUACACCUAUACGACCGCCCCUUCGAACGAACCGAUGUACCACCGGGGUAACGUCCCGGACCAAAGGUCUUCCUACAACAACAGCACCAGCAGCAAUCCUCACCAUCAACAGCAACAAAUGCUACUGCAGCAGCAGCAACAACAGUCAACCGCGGCCUCCCACGGAAUGUACUCGUCGGGACCGGCUCAGCAUCACCACCAACAGCAGCCAAACGGCCAACGAGACGGUAAAAACCAAGUUUAUUCCUCUACUCAUUCUCAGAACCAACAGCAAAUCCAGCAGCAGCAACAGUACUACUACCAACCCCAGUCGAACUACGCCACCCAGAAUAUCUACGUGUCGACGAAUCCGUUUGCGGCGGCGGCAGCGGCGACCGGAAGUCCCGUCCAUUCUACCUACUCGCCGUCGUCCUUUGGAAAAAUGCCCCGCGACGGGCAGACGUCGUCGGCGGCGGCUUCUUCGUCGGGCUUACCGACUCCGGUGGUGACCAGUGUUAGUAGUAUUGGGCAUGAUCAGCCUGGUCACGGUCACCAUCAUCACAACCGUUCAAACCACCAAAUGCGCACCGGAAGCAAUAGUGCUGCAAACAGCACCGCAAACAACGUCCUCGCCAAAACCAGCGUUGGCUUCCUGGAGAAUCUGAACGCGAGACUGGCCGAGCAACGACUCUCGGGGAAGGCCUUCGCUGUGCGAAGCCUGAUCAACAGUAAAGCGCUGGAUGAUGGUCUUUACAAUAAAUACUAUCAAAACGUUUGAUCAACCGAGAAAGAGUAGUGACGUUAAAAUAUCUGCUUUCUUGCUUGUCUGUUGAAUCGUAGACUCGUUUGUUCCAAGCCCGACCCACGGAUAUGUCACGAAUCGCUGAUGGAUCAGAUCAAGCGUGGGGCGACGUUGAAACGAAACCGAACGAUUAACGACCGCAGCGCACCGAAAAUUCACUAAACGCGAGCGUCCAAUUGUUGAAUUAAUAUCUGUGUAAUCAUCAUCACCACCAUCGUCAUUCUUUUUCUAUUAAGUUGUAAACUAACCAGUGUGUUUCUUCGGAUAUCAUCGGUGUGGCAUUAGGAUGUGCCACAACAUAACGGAAGAAAGAAACAGUAAUAUUCUUUGAACAGACAUACAUACAGGCAUAUAUUCGUUGAAACUUUCUACGCUAGUCUCGGCAAAAAAAGGCAUCACAUUUGUAGAGGAGGAGAUCGGGGCAGUGGAAGCGAGUCCAUUUCAACACUCUCCGAACCUCGUGGGACUGAACAAGUUGAUUAUACAUAUUGGGAAAACAAUGUUAUCUAUUAACUAAUGUACGUUUAAGCGCGUGUAUCACUUUAAGGCAUUUUACUAUGUGUGCGAGCUCUUUGCAUUCAAGCAUUCAGAAUCUGGGUGAUCAGUGAUCGCGGUCGAGAGUACGUUGUAAAUUGUUAAAGUAUGUAUAUUGUUCGGGAGCAUUUCUGCGAUCAAGCACAUACUCUCGGUAAAAAAACUUCCGUUUUAGCAUUCACCGUGCGUUCUCUCGAGCGGAAAGGCACAAUUUUACACGAAACCAUAUUAUACUCUUGAAAUUCAUACCAAAGCAAACAAAUCUUCGUUUACAUCUCAAACACUUUUUAGAACGAAAUCAAGUUUUAACCCUUACAGAACUGAUUCUGCUUUCAGAAAACGGAUAGACACGAACAUAAUCGAGAAAAAAUAUCAUUUUUGUCUGGAAACAACUAAGCAAAGCACUGAAGCAAACGAAACCUCCUUGAGGAGAGCUGCCUGAUCUAUCAUUUUUCGAAAGAAGAAAAAGAAGAACAAGUGUAAACAAACAACUAUAUCAAUUAUCAAACAUGGUACUGAAAGUUAUACACAAAAUAUAAACAUAAUGUAUAUUCUACAUACAACAAAACAACAAAUACAAAACAUACCUUACUGAUCGUUAGUUAUUAUAAUCAGUAGGGAAAAUGCGCGAAAAAGCAACUCUAAAUGUCGUCCAUUUACAUUUAGUAAACAUACCUUUACCCGUACACAGCACAUACACACAUGCGUUUGCAGUUAAACAGUAGUAGAAGCUCAAUUGACGAAAACAAAAAUAUAUCUACAAACAAGAAAACAAAAAAAAACUAUACCUUUUAAGUGUCGCAAAUGAAAAGGGAAAUGAUAAAAGGCUGAUUUUAACGAGAAACAACAUCCAACCUAAAAGCAAGCAUCCUAGUUCAUUAAUGCGAUUGCUGAAAAUGAGCUAAACCAAAACAUACACACAAUAGAAGAAACGCUUCGACAAGGCUUGAAUUGACGUGUUGUUGGUCUUCCACCCAAAUAUGUAGAAGCUUACCCAGCACCCACUAGUUUGAAGCUUCCAAGAAACAAUUAUCAUUUCCUUCGUACGGUACCAGUUGACGCAUCGGAAGAGGCUAAAUUAUUUACGAGAUCAGAAUGUUAUUUUUUGUAACUAUUUAUUGCUAUUUAUUUCACUCAACACACGAUUGUUUUCGACCUUUCCCCCCCAAAUAACGAUAGAAUCUCGAAUAGCUCGAAAAAAAAACUGCUAACCGUAGAGUUUAAAACCAAUAGCUAGAAAGAGAAUGAGAGAGAGAGGAAGAGAGUUUUCUUUGACUGCGAUUAAAUGUGUAAUUUGCAAAAAAAAACGGUCCUGUACAUAUUACUUUGUAAUAGUUUGAAAAACCUGAUUCGAUUAGGUUGUAAAAUAUUUUAUUGGAGCAAUUGUAAGACGACGCAGCAAGCAUCUCUCUCCCGCUCUCUGUCUCGUGUGCAGCGCUGCAAGUUAAUGUAGCGAGACGAAAGGCGAGCAACAACAAAAAAAGAAACAAUAAUUACUGCUAGGUGAGUCCGAACCGAAAAAAACAACAAACCGAUAACACUCCAUACUAAAUAAAUAUUGAAAACGAAAAAAAUGAAAGAAAACACGCAAACAUUGUAAGCACUAAACAAACAAGCGAAUAUAUAUAUUUUUAUACUAAGCAGACCUUCGUUUUUGGGUAAUAACAAAUUUAACGACUUUCGGUAAACGCUAUGUAAUGUUUAAUUUAAAGCUAUAUAUAUAUAUACAUACUACGAUAAUAUCAUGAACAUGUAUUGCUGUAACCUACAAAAAUAUCAAAUUAAAUGGAAAAAAAUAAAACUGUUUGGUUUUUA